AGACGAUACGAAUCGUACCUUUAAUUAUUCGCACGCUCGCGAGUUUCGAAGGGAGAGGGAAAAAACAGGGGAGAAGAUUGUCGAAACUUUUCCCCCGAGUUCUUAACAAACUGUGCGACUGUUAUUGGCUGUACAAUCCGAUAUCUCCGACCAUCCAUUUCACAUACACAUCUCUUCCAUAUAUAUAUCCUCCGACCGUUUGAUUCCCUUCAUCUUCAUAGCCAACAGUAUAUUCAUUAGCGCAUAAAGAUUCUGAUGUUGAAGCGGAAGUAGUUAGAAGUAGUUAGCGGAACAGAUUUACCUGCUGACCAACAAGCAUCCCACCCAAAGCCAGAAAAACCAGGUAUCUCUUGAUAACGCCACGAGGGAGAGGCAAGGUCGAAACCCGAACAACAAAAAGACCAAAAGCGCAGUAACAAGAGUGAAAUAAAGGCCAAGUUUAUAACGUAAUCAAAACUUCAUUUAUUUCUGUCGAUCAAUAAUGAUCGCAUAUUAUUAUUUGUUCUUCAAAAAUUGUACAAACUUGUAUUUACAAAGUUAUGUCUUUUCUUUGUUCAAACAUUACUAUGAGAAAAGUUAAUGAUCUAUCUAAUGGCAUAAUUAGUGCAAAAUUAUAUUGCACUCUUAUGAGCAAUGUAUACAUCAUGGUAUAAUAUACAAAUCAUGCUAAAACUUAAUAAGACUUGAUUUAACGAAUUCUUGAUAAGAGAUUUAAUUGUAAAAAUAAAUUAAUUUAUAUUAAUUAAAAAAGAACGAGAAGAAAAGGAAUAAUUUUAAUAUUUUAAAACGAUACAGUAUUUCAAUUUCGAUAAUACUAUUAAAAUCUGAUAAAAAAUCUAGAUGUUUGUAAAAAGAGUCAAAUUGAUGAUUACAAAAUUAAGCAAACAUUGGUUAACACAUAUACUGCAAAUCCCGUCAAUUAACUGGGUAAAUUAUUCAGAAAAGACUCACGUCUCUUUAGUGCAAUUGAGACUAAUACCGUGAAUCGUGACAUGAUUACGGAUCCCAACUGACCAAAGAGGAUUCUAAUCUGCAAAGAUGAGCAAUUCAGACAAUUAUAUAUACGAAGUUCUUUUAAUAAAUUCUGCCCCGUAUGAAUUAUAAAAUGGCAUUACCUCUUUUUCCGCACUUGUCAUUACAAUUUUGAUGAUAAGAGAAUAUCGGAGUAAAAAAUUACGCGUUAAUCAUGUUGUAAAAUUCUCACAUUCGCGAGAAAUAUUCUUCUUGGAGCAAAAAGAAAUUAACUCAUUAAACAGAAAGAUGAUCAAAUAAAAAAAAAAUUAAAAAAAUUAAAAAAAUUAAAAAA
Long non-coding RNA from Cataglyphis hispanica, 1306 nucleotides. RefSeq lists it as uncharacterized. The record is from RefSeq and is a predicted model, not a curated record. The transcript has 2 exons. Lineage: Eukaryota; Metazoa; Arthropoda; Insecta; Hymenoptera; Formicidae.